UCCUCCGCUUAUUGAUAUGCUUAAGUUCAGCGGGUAUUCCUACCUGAUCCGAGG
RNAcentral lists this ribosomal RNA (54 nucleotides) under Cordyceps militaris. Its description in RNAcentral is "partial 18S ribosomal RNA". The record is from RNAcentral. Lineage: Eukaryota; Fungi; Ascomycota; Sordariomycetes; Hypocreales; Cordycipitaceae.